AUGAUGGUUAUAGGAGAGACUGCGUAAUGCAGCGCCGAAGGAGUAAGCACUUUGUCAAACUCUCAGGCAAAAGGACUGUAACCGGACU
RNAcentral lists this non-coding RNA (88 nucleotides) under Sporomusa malonica. RNAcentral describes it as "Glycine sequence". It matches the Rfam family "Glycine riboswitch aptamer". Rfam says of the family: This family represents the bacterial glycine riboswitch. Glycine riboswitches usually consist of two metabolite-binding aptamers domains with similar structures in tandem. The record is from Rfam by way of RNAcentral. Lineage: Bacteria; Bacillati; Bacillota; Negativicutes; Selenomonadales; Sporomusaceae.